RNAcentral lists this ribosomal RNA (460 nucleotides) under uncultured bacterium. RNAcentral's name for it is "partial 16S ribosomal RNA". It matches the Rfam family "Bacterial small subunit ribosomal RNA", at positions 338 to 795 of the family's 1533-position model. The record is from RNAcentral.
CCUACGGGUGGCAGCAGUGAGGAAUAUUGGUCAAUGGUCGGGAGACUGAACCAGCCAAGCCGCGUGAGGGAGGAAGGUACAGAGUAUCGUAAACUGCUUUUGUCAGGGAACAAAGACUGGGACGCGUCCCCGGAUGAGUGUACCUGAAGAAAAAGCAUCGGCUAACUCCGUGCCAGCAGCCGCGGUAAUACGGAGGGUCCGAGCGUUAUCCGGAUUUAUUGGGUUUAAAGGGUGCGCAGGCCGUCUGCUAAGUCCGCGGUCAAAGCCCGGGGUUCAACCCCGGCCCGGCCGUGGAAACUGGCAGUCUCGAGUUGGAGAGAAGUAUGCGGAAUGCGCGGUGUAGCGGUGAAAUGCAUAGAUAUCACGAAGAACUCCGGUUGCGAAGGCAGCAUGCUGGCUCCACACUGACGCUGAGGCACGAAAGCGUGGGUAUCGAACAGGAUUAGAUACCCUAGUAGUC